AUGGAAGGACGAUAUUUAUAUGUGGCGUCGUAUAGUACCAUCACGGGUUCCAAAAACAUUAAACUGGGAUUUAUCAGGCUUUCUUGUUAUCAACUUUAUGCACUCGUGGAAUGGUAAAAGGUUACCCUGCAUUUCCACUACUUCAAGUGUACUGAGGACCAAAUUCUUGGUAGAGUUGAUGAAGUACCAGGAGAAUGAAUGUAAUGACAAUAUU
Zea mays is the source of this 214-nucleotide long non-coding RNA. RefSeq lists it as uncharacterized. NCBI's taxonomy places the organism in Eukaryota, Viridiplantae, Streptophyta, Magnoliopsida, Poales, Poaceae. The record is from RefSeq and is a predicted model, not a curated record. The transcript is spliced from 3 exons.